Molecule: ribosomal RNA, 483 nt
Filed under: uncultured bacterium
Lineage: Bacteria
Description: bacterial SSU rRNA
Rfam family: Bacterial small subunit ribosomal RNA
Source: RNAcentral
AACGAACGCUGGCGGCGCGCCUAACACAUGCAAGUCGAACGAGAAUCCGGGGCAACCCGGUAGUAAAGUGGCAAACGGGUGAGGAAUACAUGGGUAACCUACCCUUGAGAAGGGAAUAACCCGCCGAAAGGUGAGCUAAUACCCUAUACGCUAUCUUUUUUUCGAGAAGGAUAGGAAAGCCGGGUCGAGGACCUGGUACUCAAGGAGGGGCUCAUGUCCUAUCAGCUUGUUGGUGGGGUAACGGCCUACCAAGGCUACGACGGGUAGCUGGUCUGAGAGGAUGAUCAGCCACACUGGCACUGAGAUACGGGCCAGACUCCUACGGGAGGCAGCAGUGAGGAAUAUUGCGCAAUGGGCGAAAGCCUGACGCAGCGACGCCGCGUGGGGGAUGAAGGUUUUCGGAUUGUAAACCCUUUCAUGAGGAAGAUAAAGUGGGUAACCACUUAGACGGUACCUCAAGAAGAAGCCACGGCUAACUCCGUG